This 885-nucleotide ribosomal RNA is filed under the name uncultured archaeon. RNAcentral describes it as "bacterial SSU rRNA". It matches the Rfam family "Archaeal small subunit ribosomal RNA", at positions 54 to 922 of the family's 1478-position model. The record is from RNAcentral.
CUAGUUGUACGCGCCAACGGUGACGAGUAGCAUACCGCUCAGUAACACGUAGCUAACCUACCCUUGGGACGGAGACACCCCCGGGAAACUGGGGACAAUACCCGAUAGGUGUGGAGGCCUGGAAUGGUUCCACGCUCAAAAGCACGGCGACCAUGUUUGUCGUGUGCCCAAGGAUGGGGCUGCGGCCGAUCAGGCAGUUGGCGAGGUAACGGCUCACCAAACCUGUGACCGGUACGGGCCAUGAGAGUGGUAGCCCGGAGAUGGACACUGAGACAGGGGUCCAGGCCCUACGGGGCGCAGCAGGCGCGAAAACUCCACAAUGUACUCAAGUACGAUGGGGUUAUCUCGAGUGCAGUCCGAUAAGGGCUGCUUUUCCAUAGAGUAGUAUCCUGUGGGAAUAAGAGGGGGGCAAGACUGGUGUCAGCCGCCGCGGUAACACCAGCCCCUCGAGUGGUGGGGACUUUUAUUUGGCCUAAAGCGUCCGUAGCCGGCUGUAGCCGUCACCCGUUAAAUCCAGCGUCUCAAGCGUUGGACUGCGGGUGAUACCCUACAGCUAGAGGGUGGGAGAGGUAAGCGGUAUUCCUGGGGUAGGGGCGAAAUCCUUUGAUCCCAGGAGGACCACCAGUGGCGAAGGCUGCUUACUAGAACACGCCUGACGGUCAGGGACGAAAGCUGGGGCAGCGAACCGGAUUAGAUACCCGGGUAGUCCCAGCUGUAAACGAUGCUCGCUAGGUNGUUGGGUCGGCCACGCGCCGCCCCAGUGCCGCAGGGAAGCCGUUAAGCGAGCCGCCUGGGGAGUACGGCCGCAAGGCUGAAACUUAAAGGAAUUGGCGGGGGAGCACCACCAGGCGUGAAGCUUGCGGUUUAAUUGGAGUCAACGCCGGG